AGAGCAAACGGCGGAUGCCUUGGCUCUCAGAGGCGAUGAAGGACGUGACAAGCUGCGAAAAGCUGCGGGGAGGAGCAAAUAUCCGUUAUAUCCGCAGAUAUCCGAAUGGGGCAACCUUCCAGGUUGAAGACCUGGAGUCCCGGUGCAAACCGGGAAGCGAACCCGGAGAACUGAAACAUCUAAGUACCCGGAGGAAGAGAAAACAAAAGUGAUUCCCGGAGUAGUGGCGAUCGAAAUGGGAAUAGCCCAAACCGGCAAUGUUUAGGCAUGGCCGGGGUUGUAGGACCGGCACCAUUAUUAUAAAUAUCAACGGAAACUACCUGGAAAGGCAGGGCAUAGAAGGUGAUACCCCUGUACCGGAAAGUAUUUAUAAUAUAGCUGGUAUCCUGAGUAGGGCGGGACACGUGAAAUCCUGUCUGAAUCCGCGGGGACCAUCCCGCAAGGCUAAAUACUCCUGAGAGACCGAUAGUGGACUAGUACCGUGAGGGAAAGGUGAAAAGCACCCCGAACAGGGGAGUGAAAUAGUACCUGAAACCGUUUGCUUACAAAUCGGUCGGAGCCUUGUCGCAAGACAGGGUGACGGCGUGCCUUUUGCAUAAUGAGCCUACGAGUUAUCCUUACUAGCGAGGUUAAGACUUUAAGAGUCGGAGCCGAAGCGAAAGCGAGUCUGAACAGGGCGUAUAGUUAGUAGGGGUAGACGCGAAACUUUGUGAUCUAUCCUUGGUCAGGCUGAAGUUCCGGUAACACGGGAUGGAGGGCCGAACCAGUAAACGUUGAAAAGUUUUUGGAUGAACUGAGGAUAGGGGUGAAAGGCCAAUCAAACUGAGAAAUAGCUCGUACUCCCCGAAAUGCAUUUAGGUGCAGCCUUGAGUCGAGUUUUGCAGAGGUAGAGCUACUGAUAAGGCUAGAGGGCUUCAUCGCCUAUCAAACCUUGAUAAACUCCGAAUGCUGCAAAAUAAUGACCAGGAGUGAGGCUAUGGGUGCUAAGAUCCAUGGCCAAAAGGGAAAUAGCCCAGACCAUCAGCUAAGGUCCCCAAGUAUAUGUUAAGUUGGAAAAACGAAGUGCGACUGCCCAGACAGCUAGGAUGUUGGCUUGGAAGCAGCCAUUCAUUUAAAGAGUGCGUAACAGCUCACUAGUCGAGCGGUUGUGCGUGGAUAAUAAUCGGGCAUAAACAUAUCACCGAAGCUGUGGAUUCGUCGUAAGACGGAUGGUAGGGGAGCAUUCCAGUCCUGCGUUGAAGGUGUACUGUAAAGUAUGCUGGAGCGUCUGGAAAAGAAAAUGUAGGCAUAAGUAACGAUAAGGCAGGUGAGAAACCUGCCCACCGAAAGACUAAGGUUUCCUGAUCAACGUUAAUCGGAUCAGGGUUAGUCGGGACCUAAGGGUAAGCCGAAAGGCGAUCUCGAUGGACAAUUGGUAAAUAUUCCAAUACCACCGCAUGUUGCGAUGGGGUGACGAAGUAGUGAAAGAACCGCCUGGUGACGGACAUCCAGGUUAAAGGGUGUAGUUAUAUACAUGGGUUAACAGCUUGUGUAUGAUGAACCUGAUAGUACCGUGAGGCUUCGGCUGAGCGGAUAGUGUUCCUAAUCAGACUUCCAAGAAAAUCCUCUAAGCUUCAGACAUGUGGUGCCCGUACCACAAACCGACACAGGUAGUCGAGGAGAGAAUCCUAAGGUGCUCGAGUGAUCCGUGGCUAAGGAACUAGGCAAAUUGAACCUGUAACUUCGGGAUAAAGGUUCCCCUGUUUAUCAAUGGGGGCGCAGAGAAAUGGCCCUGGCGACUGUUUAACAAAAACACAAGGCUUUGCGAAAUUGAAAGAUGAAGUAUAAGGCCUGACACCUGCCCGGUGCCGGAAGGUUAAGAGGGGGAGUCAUUCUCAGCAAUGGGAAGAAGCUCUGAAUCGAAGCCCCGGUAAACGGCGGCCGUAACUAUAACGGUCCUAAGGUAGCGAAAUUCCUUGUCGGGUAAGUUCCGACCUGCACGAAUGGUGUAACGAUCUGGGCACUGUCUCAGCCACGAGCUCGGUGAAAUUGUAGUUCCGGUGAAGAUGCCGGAUACCCGCAACGGGACGGAAAGACCCCGUGAACCUUUACUAUAGCUUAACAUUGAUUUUGGGUAAGUGAUGUGUAGGAUAGGUCGGAGACUGUGAACCGGUUUCGCCAGGAAUCGGGGAGUCAACGUUGAAAUACGACCCUUCAUUUACCUGGAAUCUAAUCCGUCAACCGACGGAGACAUUGUUUGGUGGGUAGUUUGACUGGGGUGGUCGCCUCCAAAAGAGUAACGGAGGCUCCU
RNAcentral lists this ribosomal RNA (2290 nucleotides) under activated sludge metagenome. RNAcentral describes it as "bacterial LSU rRNA". It matches the Rfam family "Bacterial large subunit ribosomal RNA", at positions 14 to 2311 of the family's 2925-position model. The record is from RNAcentral.